GGACAGUAUGUCAUAUAUGCAUGAACUUGAUUGAUGUAUUGAUGUAUAAUGAACUGAAGAUAUAAUGAAUUCAAUCAGGUUAAAAAAAAUGUAUGUGCAAAAGCGACUCGAAGACGAUUUAGAUUUGUCUCCUGAAUAUAAAACUUCCAAGAAGUACAUCAUAUAUGAAUAUCCUGUAUCCUCGCAUUUGAUGUAAUGAACUGGCGAUAGAAUGAAAUCAGUCAGUGUUAAAAAUGUAUGUGUAAAAGCGACUUUAAGAUGAUGGAGAUUUGUACACUGAACAUAAAACUUCCAAAAUUUGGGGCA
This is a long non-coding RNA of Ctenocephalides felis (cat flea), 306 nucleotides long. RefSeq lists it as uncharacterized. The record is from RefSeq and is a predicted model, not a curated record. The transcript is spliced from 3 exons. NCBI's taxonomy places the organism in Eukaryota, Metazoa, Arthropoda, Insecta, Siphonaptera, Pulicidae.